Acanthopagrus latus (yellowfin seabream) is the source of this 1072-nucleotide long non-coding RNA. RefSeq lists it as uncharacterized. The record is from RefSeq and is a predicted model, not a curated record. The transcript has 2 exons. Lineage: Eukaryota; Metazoa; Chordata; Actinopteri; Spariformes; Sparidae.
UGCACGGUUGGCACACAGCUUUCCAUGAGAACUCUCCGGCCUCACUUCAGAAGCACAGGACUCUACCUGGCUGCCCUGCAUUACAAUGAAAAUACUGACUGACCACAGGCAACAUCUACAGGUGGAGAGCUGCUAUACAGUCAACUUCCCCAAAUCUAAGCAUGGAGAAUGAACCGCAAAGCCUGUGAAAGCAGAGCCAACAUUCCAUAAGUUUUACAAUCUUUUAUUUGAAACCCACAAAUAAAAAAAAUAAAGAUGGACACACAGGCAAUAACACAAAAGGUUGAAAAUAAACACAAAUAAAAUCUGAACGAUUUUUUUGAUGGUUUUCAAAUUAAUAAAUAAGGAGGAUGUAUAAAUUAGGAGAAAUACGAAGAGACAUUUGACAACACUGCAGCACAAGGCUUUUUGGUUCUAGUGUAUUUUUCUUGUAAACAUUAUUUUUUGUUUACUGCACUGCAGACUACGUUGAUGCACUGUUGGACCUGAUCUUCAAGAAGGUUUUCCAGGACCCUGGCCCAUAUGUGAACGAGGUGCUGAAACUUACAAUCCCUGAAGUCCUCUCGGCUCAGUAUGAAAGACCCAACAAGCUGGACGUUAUAGCCAGUUACAUGCCAAGGUUCAAUCAAGGACAGGUCUGAACCUAACAUACUGUCCUUCUGUGUCAGGGAACUCUGCAUGAAUCCUCAGCACCACACAGGCAGGCAGCACAGCUCUCACUCUCCGCCCCAGAAAGCACCAGCACCAGCUUACAAAGCUUCUGUAGGCUAGGUAUCUAUACUGGCUGGACACAAUUCAGUAGAAAGUCAGCAUUGACUGUUCACAUCCAUGGCAACUGGCAAGUUUAACUGUUCCACUUUAGAUAUUUAUUUUGUAUGUCUACAAUUGUUUCUUGCAAUAAAACAUCUCUCCCAACUGUUCUGUGUGUUUUCAUUGUUUGAUAUGUAGUUUUCAUGUUACCAAGUAAAAGAUAGUAACGAUAAACUAUAAGCAAUGUAAGACAGAGAAAGCAGUUAUGUACUUUAUAACACUUUUGCAAUAAAUUAAUAUUUAUGGGCCUAAAAAGCUUAGA